GAUGAAGAACGCAGUGAAAUGCGAUAAGUAAUGUGAAUUGCAGAAUUCAGUGAAUCAUCGAAUCUUUGAACGCACAUUGCGCCCGCUAGUAUUCUGGCGGGCAUGCCUGUCCGAGCGUCAUUUCAACCCUCAAGCCCCCGGGCUUGGUGUUGGGGAUCGGCGAGCCUCCGCGCCCGCCGUCCCCUAAAUCUAGUGGCGGUCUCGCUGUAGCUUCCUCUGCGUAGUAGCACACCUCGCACUGGGAAACAGCGCGGCCACGCCGUAAAACCCCCAACUUCUGAACGUUUGACCUCGGAUCAGGUAGGAAUACCCGCUGAACUUAAGCAUAUCAAUAAGCGGAGGA
RNAcentral lists this unclassified non-coding RNA (343 nucleotides) under soil metagenome. Its description in RNAcentral is "partial contains 5.8S ribosomal RNA, internal transcribed spacer 2, and large subunit ribosomal RNA". The stretch from base 1 to 120 matches the Rfam family "5.8S ribosomal RNA", at positions 35 to 154 of the family's 154-position model. The record is from RNAcentral.